CUUAUCAAGAGCGGUGGAGGGAACGGCCCUGUGAAGCCCGGCAACCUGCGGUAAGCAAGGUGCCAAAUCCGGCGGUGAAACGAAAGAUGAG
This 91-nucleotide non-coding RNA is filed under the name pig gut metagenome. RNAcentral describes it as "SAM riboswitch (S box leader)". It matches the Rfam family "SAM riboswitch aptamer (S box leader)". From Rfam's summary of the family: The SAM riboswitch is found upstream of a number of genes which code for proteins involved in methionine or cysteine biosynthesis in Gram-positive bacteria. The SAM riboswitch acts at the level of transcription termination control. The record is from RNAcentral.